Molecule: ribosomal RNA, 253 nt
Filed under: uncultured bacterium
Lineage: Bacteria
Description: partial 16S ribosomal RNA
Rfam family: Bacterial small subunit ribosomal RNA
Source: RNAcentral
UACGCAGGGUCCGAGCGUUGUCCGGAAUUACUGGGCGUAAAGAGCUCGUAGGUGGUUUGUCGCGUUGUUCGUGAAAACUCACAGCUCAACUGUGGGCGUGCGGGCGAUACGGGCAGACUAGAGUACUGCAGGGGAGACUGGAAUUCCUGGUGUAGCGGUGGAAUGCGCAGAUAUCGGGAAGAACACCCGUGGCGAAGGCGGCUCUCUGGGACGGUACUGACGCUGAGACGCGAAAGCGUGGGGAGCGAACAGG